UACAGAGGUGGCAAGCGUUGUUCGGAAUUACUGGGCGUAAAGGGCGCGUAGGCGGCCAUCUAAGUCAGACGUGAAAUCCCCCGGCUUAACCUGGGAACUGCGUCUGAUACUGGACGGCUUGAGUAUGGGAGAGGGAUGUAGAAUUCCAGGUGUAGCGGUGAAAUGCGUAGAUAUCUGGAGGAAUACCGGUGGCGAAGGCGGCAUCCUGGACCAUUACUGACGCUGAUGCGCGAAAGCUAGGGGAGCAAACAGG
RNAcentral lists this ribosomal RNA (253 nucleotides) under uncultured bacterium. Its description in RNAcentral is "partial 16S ribosomal RNA". It matches the Rfam family "Bacterial small subunit ribosomal RNA", at positions 524 to 776 of the family's 1533-position model. The record is from RNAcentral.